GACGAACGCUGGCGGCGUGCCUAAUACAUGCAAGUAGAACGCACAGUUUAUACCGUAGCUUGCUACACCAUAGACUGUGAGUUGCGAACGGGUGAGUAACGCGUAGGUAACCUGCCUGGUAGCGGGGGAUAACUAUUGGAAACGAUAGCUAAUACCGCAUAAUAUUAAUUAUUGCAUGAUAAUUAAUUGAAAGGUGCAAUUGCACCACUACCAGAUGGACCUCCGUUGUAUUAGCUAGUAGGUGAGGUAACGGCCCACCUAUGCGACGAUACAUAGCCGACCUGAGAGGGUGAGCGGCCAAACUGGGACUGGAGCACGGCCCAGAAUCCUACGGGAGGCAGCCGUAGGGGAUCUUCGGGAAUGGACGAAAGUCUGACCGAGCAACGCCGCGGGAGUGAAGGAGGUUUUCGGGUCGUAAAGCUCUGUUGUAAGAGAAGGACGGGUGUGAGAGUGAAAAGUUCACACUGUGACGGUAUCUUAAGAGAAAGCGACGGCUAACUACGUG
RNAcentral lists this ribosomal RNA (505 nucleotides) under uncultured bacterium. RNAcentral's name for it is "partial 16S ribosomal RNA". It matches the Rfam family "Bacterial small subunit ribosomal RNA", at positions 28 to 507 of the family's 1533-position model. The record is from RNAcentral.